Cyprinus carpio (common carp) is the source of this 1222-nucleotide long non-coding RNA. The record is from Ensembl. Lineage: Eukaryota; Metazoa; Chordata; Actinopteri; Cypriniformes; Cyprinidae.
AUGUUUUUAUUGCUUAAAAUGUAUGUUUACAUGGUCCAGUGGUUCGAAAAGGCCAGAAAGCUGUGGGUGGAGGCAGGGUCUUCAAGAAAUGAGGCUAUGAUAAAGCUGGCUGAGGACUUCUUUGAUGCACUGAUGGUUGUUCACGAAAGCUGUAAAGAAGGUGAGUGUUUUGCUCCAGAUUUCCAAAAGUUCAAGUUCAAGAAAAGUCAAAGGGGAGGUUGAGCAGCGCUCUGCAUUCAGUUCAACCUGUGUAUUCCCUCAGGAACAUAUGAGGUCACAGAAGCUCUGCUUAGUCACAUUGGCAAACUGGCCUCUGAUGCACAAAUAAGCAUCGUGAUUCAGAAAGAGGUAAGAGAUUAAAUACAUUUCUUAAAGGAAAGCCUCACCAUCAGUAUGCAUGGAAGUAAUCAUUUCAGCCAUAUUGAGAACUCAUUCCACACCUCCAGUCAUGACAUGUCACUCGAGCUGUGUUUACCCAGACUUUUCCAGAAAUAGAAGACUGAAUUACAUUAUUUACUCUUAUUGACAGGCAGCAAGGAAACUCAAUGCUAUUCUGGAAAAGAUUCCCAUGGAGCUGAAAAAGAAAAAGAAGAUCUUGUCAACUCAAGAGGCUUCAUCUAUGAUGUGUGUUGAAUGAUAGUGCAUUAUCACUCUCCUGUGUCUUAAGAAUGUAACCGUACAUUUAAAAGUCCCCUUCUUGCACCUAUGGAUACAUUUUAAUCUGGAAAGUACCUGUAGGGGUGCGAAUAUGCUUGGAUUUUAAAACUGUAGUGUGUUGUGUUUUUAUCAGGAAUGCAGUGGCCAGUCAAAUCCUCAGAGGUGGAGGUUAGUGUAAAAAUCCAUUGUAAUGAGUAUACGUAGUUUAGAAAGUGUGAUCGUAGAAUUAUACUUAAACACAAAUGUAAAUGAUUAUGAUGAUCAUUCCAAAACUCAUUUUUAGAUUGCACUCAUACUGUGACUGAUUGUAGCUACAUAUCUGUUGUGGGUCAGAUUAUGACUUGCAGGUGUCUUUAAUGGAGGCCCUCUGCAGAAUGGCUUCACCAGCUCAGAGGAAUCAACUAGCUGACUCCUGGUUUACAAUGACCUUUGUCUCCUCUGCAUUCAAGAAGAUCAAGGAUUCUCAGUUUGAGACUGUAAAUAUGGCCUCACUUGGAAUUAGACAUCUUAAAAUGAUUUUUUUUGGUUGCAUCGUAUAUUAGAAUAUGUUUUGUGUGUGUUUUUU